RNAcentral lists this transfer RNA (70 nucleotides) under Gymnobelideus leadbeateri (Leadbeater's possum). RNAcentral's name for it is "tRNA-Arg". It matches the Rfam family "tRNA". From Rfam's summary of the family: Transfer RNA (tRNA) molecules are approximately 80 nucleotides in length. Their secondary structure includes four short double-helical elements and three loops (D, anti-codon, and T loops). The record is from RNAcentral. Lineage: Eukaryota; Metazoa; Chordata; Mammalia; Diprotodontia; Petauridae.
UAGGUUUUUAAUCUAACUAAGAUAAUUGAUUUCGACUCAAUAAAUCAUGGUUCCAACCCAUGAAUACCUU